CUGGCGUGCGAUUCUUGUAGUGUAAUACCUCGCGUGUUACAUCACAAAACUAGUCAGUGAGCCAUGAUUAACAUGAUUUCUUCAUCUUUCAAAAAAUACGACUUUUCUCUUCUUAACAAGACAUAUUGAUGAUAUGAACGACUAGGGGGGCUUACCCGUUCUGAAGAGAGGGCGCUAUCUUCUGUAAGAAGAACAAAAGGCAGUAGCGUCAUUAGUAAAGCUGAUUCGUGAGUUACACAUGAAGCGUAAACUUGAACGUCACAAUUCUACAACAGUGUUUAACAUUGGAGUAGAAUUACUAUAGACAGACAGUAAAGGACAAGCUUGUAUUUCUUGUGCAACAUCAAUCACCGAGGAACGCCUGAGAGAAUCACACUUCCAUAAUGGCACAGCAACGACAAGCGUGGGACGGAGGAAAAGAGCGAGAAUUGCAGAGGAAACGACAUUUGGAAGCUAUGAUGAUUAAUAGACGCACUUUUGAAGACCGCAAACGUGAUGUAAAAACUUGGCUCGAUCGAAUCGAGAAUAGGGUAGAAAGACUUCCCCCUGUCGGCCAAACUCUGGAUGUUCUUGAAGUCCAAGUGAAAGAACAAAAGAUACUUCAGAAUGAGAUUCAUCAGUGGAACCCGGAUAUGGAAAGUUUAAGCCGAUUGGCUGAUAAGGUGGCCAGUGACAAUCCUCACGAUGACAUAUUGCAGUUGAGGGAUAUAACCGAAGAAAUAUAUCAAAGAUAUAUGCAAUUAUCUUCACGUCUUCAAGCAAGAAGUAAAGCUUUGCAAAACGCAGUCAACUCCUUACAACAACUGGAUAAAGCUCUGGACAGGUUUCUCGCUUGGUUAUCAGAAGCAGAGUCAACUUUCGAAAUUCUCGAGUCUGAAGCAGAAAAGUAUGGUCUGCGAGAAGACAUGCAACAAGUCAGGGGAUGGCCAGAAAAAGUCAGAGAGCUCCAAAGGGAAAUCGAGAGCCAACGUGACCUACACUUGACCCUAAACGAACGAAGUGGUCAGCUUCUCCAGAGCUUCGAAAGCCAAGAUGACGCUCUGCUUUUGAGAAGGAAAUCGGAGGAGAUGAAUCAGAGAUGGAACGCCUUGCGUCUCAAAACUGUCUCUCUCAGAAAUCGUCUCGAGAAAAAUGCAGAGCAGUGGAAUCAAUUACUCCUUUCCUUACGAGAACUUACUGAAUGGGUUAUAAAAAAAGAAACCGAACUUGCCGCCCAACCUGCGCUUGGUGGCGACGUCACUAGUAUUCUUAAACAACAAGACGAACAUCGUGCGUUCCGCAGACAGCUAGACGACAAACGCCCUGUGAUCGAGAGUAGCCUUCUGGCGGGAAGACACUACAUUACUAAGGAACCACCGCUUUCAGACACCAGUGACUCAGAAGCCAAAGAUUACGAGACUGAAAGUAGGGGAUACCGUAGUGCAGAGGAACAAGCAAGGGAAAUUGCGCGCAGCAUCCGGAGAGAGGUUAAGAAGCUUUCGGAUAAGUGGAACGCUCUCUUGGCCCAUACUGAUCAGCGCCAUAAAUGGAUAGACGAUGUGUUAACAAAAAUGAAGAUGCUUCAAAGAACUAUGGAAGAAAUGAAUUCCAAUCUUCAAGCAGCAGAAGCAACCAAAGUCAAGUGGCCUCCAAUUUCCGAGUUUGUGUUAGAUCAAAUGCAAGAACACUUAAACGAGAUACAGAAUUUCAAAGAGCGGGUGGCACCUUUACAUCAGCAUUUAGAAGAAGUAAAUGAAGCUGCUGGUCGCAUAACUGGGUGCAAUGUUCUACUUUCUCACGCCAAUCUUAAUCGACUUGAAGAAUUGAACACUAGAUGGCGUCUCUUGCACUUGGCCAUAGAAGACCGACGUAAACAACUAGAGGGUUCCCUGAAAGAUCAAAGUUUGGCACAAAACUUUUUAAAUGCUUCAGUGGAUGAGCCAUGGGAAAGAGCUGUUUCAGGAAACAAAGUGCCUUACUACAUCAAUUCCUUAUCUUCAUCUAGUCACCUAAGUGAGACAACACACUGGGAUCAUCCAAAAAUGAUUGAGUUAAUGGAGUCAUUAGGUGAAUACAAUGAAGUCAGAUACUCUGCAUACAGGACUGCUAUGAAACUACGAACUGUGCAAAAACAGCUGUGUUUGGCUUUCCUGAACUUAAAUAACAUCAUCAAUGCGUUUGAUCAGCAUGGUCUUCGAGCUCAGAAUGAUAAGCUUAUCAGCAUCACAGAAAUGAUUACAUGUCUUUCAACAAUCUAUGAGAGUGUAUCCAGUGAACCAGGUUUUUUGGUCAACAAACCUCUAAGUAUAGACAUGUGUUUAAACUGGCUGUUGAAUUUGUUUGACACUUCAACUAGAACAGGCUAUAUUCGUAUCCUUUCCUUCAAAAUUGGUGUCAUACUUCUAUGUCAUGGAACCCUCGAGGACAAGUUUAGAUAUUUGUUCCGGCUGAUAGCAGAUGUAAAUGGUUGUGCUGAUGAACGUAAGCUUGGUCUUCUUCUUCAUGACUGUGUACAGAUUCCCAGGUUGCUGGGAGAAGUAGCUGCCUUUGGAGGAAGUAACAUUGAACCCAGUGUGCGAAGUUGUUUUGAAAAGGGAAAUAACAAGAAAGAAAUUCAAGUAACACAUUUCCUCAAUUGGCUCCAACAAGAACCCCAGUCUCUUGUGUGGCUUCCAGUUCUGCACAGACUUGUAGCUGCAGAGAAUGCCAAGCAUCAGGCCAAAUGUAACAUCUGUAAACAGUAUCCAAUUAUUGGAUUUAGAUACCGAUGCCUGAAGUGCUUCAAUUUUGACCUCUGCCAGAACUGUUUCUUCUCAGGAAGGAAAGCUAAAGGCCAUAAACUUUCUCAUCCCAUGCAUGAAUACUGUGUGAUAACUACUUCUGGAGAGGACAUGAGAGACUUCACAAGAAUAGUUCGUAAUAAAUUCAAAUCUAAACGCCAUUUUAAAAAACAUCAUCGGAUGGGUUAUCUUCCUGUUCAGACAGUUCUGGAAGGUGACGAUUUAGAAAGUCCAGCACCGUCUCCACAACAUGCAGUUUCUUCAAAAGAAAUGCAUUCCCGUUUAGAGCUGUAUGCUAACAGGCUUGCAGAAGUAGAAUUAUGUACACAGAAUGUCUCCACACCUGAUUCAAGUGAGGAUGAACACCAAUUGAUAGCUCAGUAUUGUCAAACACUUUCUGAAGAAAAUGUGCAAUCCAUUCCCCGAAGUCCAGCCCAAGUUUUGGCUGCUGUAGAUGCUGACCAUCAAAAAGAGUUAGAAACCAUGAUUCAUCAGCUGGAGGAAGAAAACAGAAACCUCCAUGCUGAGUUUGAGAUUCUCCAAGGAAAACAGGCUGUACAGGGAAUGUCACCUCCAACCACAGAUGAUGUUUGUGAUGAGACCUUAUACACUUCAAGUCGUAAUGAAGAAAUGUUGGCUGAGGCAAAGCUCCUUAGGCAACACAAAGGCCGACUUGAAGCCAGAAUGCAGAUACUAGAAGAUCACAAUUGUCAGUUGGAAGCCCAGCUGCAACGACUUCGAAAACUUUUGAAUGAGCCAUCGUCUGGUUCAUUACAUGGUAACUCAGUUUUGCUGCAGAGCACCCCUUACACAACUCCUCAAUCUUCUCUUCACCAUGGACGAAGCCAUUCUACUGACUAUACACCUCGGAGGAAUGGUGUUGCCUCAGAGCCAGAAAAGGUGUGUGCAAAAGCAAUCUUAAUGUGAAAAACCAUGUUGCAGUAUUUCUGACAGCUCUGAAGUUCCUAAUUCUUAAACUCUUUUAAAUUUUGCAAAUAGCCCUAAAAAAAUUAAAAGUAAAAAAAAAACAACCUGUUUUGUUUCCGGUCUUCUUGGAAUGUAAUUUUGAUGAUGUCACUAUGACCUAAUGUGAUGAACUGGUGGUUUUCGUGGGUGUGGAUUGAGCAGGAAAUCAUUUAGCUGCAAGAUCAACUGGAGUAGACAGUCUGUUCCAUAUGGCAGGUAGUCUGGGCAAAGCUGUUGGUUCAUUAGUUAAUGUGAUGACAGAUGAUGAGGAAAAUGGAUCAGAAGAAGAAAUUAAACACUGACAAUAGUU
This 4035-nucleotide unclassified non-coding RNA is filed under the name Limulus polyphemus (Atlantic horseshoe crab). Its description in RNAcentral is "dystrophin-like, transcript variant X5". The record is from RNAcentral. Lineage: Eukaryota; Metazoa; Arthropoda; Merostomata; Xiphosura; Limulidae.